CAGUAGCCGCGGUAAUACGAAGGGUGCAAGCGUUAAUCGGAAUUACUGGGCGUAAAGCGUGCGUAGGCGGAUGGCACAGUCAGAUGUGAAAUUCCCGGGCUUAACCUGGGGGCUGCAUUUGAUACGUGUUGUCUAGAGUGAGGAAGAGGGUCGUGGAAUUCCCAGUGUAGAGGUGAAAUUCGUAGAUAUUGGGGAGAACACCGGUGGCGAAGGCGGCGACCUGGUCCUUGACUGACGCUGAGGCGCGAAAGCGUGGGGAGCAAACAGGAUUAGAUACCCGAGUAGUCCCUGUCUCUUAUAC
RNAcentral lists this ribosomal RNA (301 nucleotides) under uncultured bacterium. RNAcentral describes it as "partial 16S ribosomal RNA". It matches the Rfam family "Bacterial small subunit ribosomal RNA", at positions 509 to 807 of the family's 1533-position model. The record is from RNAcentral.